RNAcentral lists this ribosomal RNA (519 nucleotides) under uncultured bacterium. Its description in RNAcentral is "bacterial SSU rRNA". It matches the Rfam family "Bacterial small subunit ribosomal RNA", at positions 28 to 556 of the family's 1533-position model. The record is from RNAcentral.
GACGAACGCUGGCGGCGUGCCUAACACAUGCAAGUCGAACGAGGUCCAUGCAGUGGCAACACUGCGGAAGACCUAGUGGCGAACGGGUGUGUAACACGUGAGGAACUUGCCCCGGAGACCGGGAUAAGCCCCCGAAAGGGGGUCUAAUACCGGAUGUCCUCACCGAGUCGCAUGGCUUGGUGAAGAAAUGGAUUCCGCUCCGGGAGAGCCUCGCGGCCUAUCAGCUUGUUGGUGGGGUAACGGCCCACCAAGGCGUCGACGGGUAGCUGGUCUGAGAGGACGAUCAGCCACACUGGGACUGAGACACGGCCCAGACUCCCACGGGAGGCAGCAGUGGGGAAUCUUGCGCAAUGGGCGAAAGCCUGACGCAGCAACGCCGCGUGCGGGAUGAAGGCCCUCGGGUUGUAAACCGCUUUCAGUGGGGACGAACCAAGACGGUACCCACAGAAGAAGCCCCGGCCAACUACGUGCCAGCAGCCGCGGUAACACGUAGGGGGCAAGCGUUGUCCGGAUUUAGUU